AUAACCUACGUUUGAAAUACGAAGGUAUGGCAGCCCUCAUUUUGUGUGCAGCAGCACUGUUGACAAUAACCCCUUCGACACACUGUAGCGCAGCUCUGGCCACUUCUGAUAAUGCUGAAGCGCGUACUUGUCCAUCCUGCCUUCCCUGCCCUGAAGAUCCAUCAAAUACCAUCAAAAAGUUUUGGAGCGACAAUGAAUAUAUGUGGAUAUUUUAUAUGGAUCCUCACACUACGGCAAGCUGCAUCAAGGAGAGACGUGUAGGCAUUAGCGAAUCCAUAGUCGCACUGCAAAAGUCAACGGUGCGAAAUGGGGCCGAAAGCUCACAAUUUCCAGUGAAAAUGUGGACAUUAUCUCAAGCCGGAGAUGAAAUGUGGCACAUAGACCAAAACAGUAAUAAUAAGCAUACUGAAACUUUACUGUAUAGGCCUCCACAAGGCCGAUGUGCUAUAAUUAAAGAAUCGAAUACUGAGACAGGUUUGAACGCACCAGGACGAGGAGCGCAUUCACCCGAGAGCGCAGUUCCACCUCAUUGCCAGAAGGGCCGGUUUUCGUGACGCACGCUCUGCGGUCAUUCCGCCGAACGAAAUCUGUGAGGUUAUACCACUCAAUGCCGAAGUUGAGAAAACCAGAGUGGUAUUCCUUGCUUGUGGGUGGAGAGAAUCCUACUCAGAGUGUUGGCAAUUGUUUGGACGUAUAUAAAAGUUUUUCUAAAGUACCGGAGCCUCAAGCAAUGUAUUUGGAAAGCUGUGCUAAGAGUUCACAGUAAAAUUGGACAUCCGCAGUUCACUGGUCUCAUUAAUAAUACAAUGUUUGUGCUGCGCAAUAAACAUGAUUAUACUGCGGGAACAA
RNA transcript from Rhipicephalus sanguineus (brown dog tick), 849 nucleotides. RefSeq lists it as uncharacterized. The record is from RefSeq and is a predicted model, not a curated record. The transcript is spliced from 6 exons. NCBI's taxonomy places the organism in Eukaryota, Metazoa, Arthropoda, Arachnida, Ixodida, Ixodidae.